This 387-nucleotide ribosomal RNA is filed under the name uncultured bacterium. RNAcentral describes it as "bacterial SSU rRNA". It matches the Rfam family "Bacterial small subunit ribosomal RNA", at positions 28 to 417 of the family's 1533-position model. The record is from RNAcentral.
GACGAACGCUGGCGGCGUGCUUAACACAUGCAAGUCGAGCGGUAAGGCCCUUUCGGGGGUACACGAGCGGCGAACGGGUGAGUAACACGUGGGUGACCUGCCCUCAGCUCUGGGAUAAGCCUGGGAAACUGGGCCUAAUACUGGAUAUGACUCCACGGUGCAUGUCGUGGGGUGGAAAGCCUUGUGCGGCUGAGGAUGGGCCCGCGGCCUAUCAGCUUGUUGGUGGGGGAUGGCCUACCAAGGCGACGACGGGUAGCCGGCCUGAGAGGGCGACCGGCCACACUGGGACUGAGACACGGCCCAGACUCCUACGGGAGGCAGCAGUGGGGAAUCUUGCGCAAUGGGCGAAAGCCUGACGCAGCGACGCCGCGUGAGGGAUGACGGCCU